CCUACGGGUGGCAGCAGUGAGGAAUAUUGGUCAAUGGACGAGAGUCUGAACCAGCCAAGUAGCGUGAAGGAUGACUGCCCUAUGGGUUGUAAACUUCUUUUAUAUGGGAAUAAAAUGUUCCACGUGUGGGAUUUUGUAUGUACCAUAUGAAUAAGGAUCGGCUAACUCCGUGCCAGCAGCCGCGGUAAUACGGAGGAUCCGAGCGUUAUCCGGAUUUAUUGGGUUUAAAGGGAGCGUAGGUGGAUUGUUAAGUCAGUUGUGAAAGUUUGCGGCUCAACCGUAAAAUUGCAGUUGAAACUGGCAGUCUUGAGUACAGUAGAGGUGGGCGGAAUUCGUGGUGUAGCGGUGAAAUGCUUAGAUAUCACGAAGAACUCCGAGUGCGAAGGUAGUUCACUGGACUGCAACUGACACUGAGGCUCGAAAGUGUGGGUAUCAAACAGGAUUAGAUACCCGAGUAGUC
Molecule: ribosomal RNA, 460 nt
Filed under: uncultured bacterium
Lineage: Bacteria
Description: partial 16S ribosomal RNA
Rfam family: Bacterial small subunit ribosomal RNA
Source: RNAcentral